UGGGGAAUAUUGGACAAUGGGCGCAAGCCUGAUCCAGCCAUGCCGCGUGAGUGAUGAAGGCCCUAGGGUUGUAAAGCUCUUUCACCGGUGAAGAUAAUGACGGUAACCGGAGAAGAAGCCCCGGCUAACUUCGUGCCAGCAGCCGCGGUAAUACGAAGGGGGCUAGCGUUGUUCGAAUUUACUGGGCGUAAAGCGCACGUAGGCGGACUAUUAAGUCAGGGGUGAAAUCCCGGGGCUCAACCCCGGAACUGCCUUUGAUACUGGUAGUCUUGAGUUCGAGAGAGGUGAGUGGAAUUCCGAGUGUAGAGGUGAAAUUCGUAGAUAUUCGGAGGAACACCAGUGGCGAAGGCGGCUCACUGGCUCGAUACUGACGCUGAGGUGCGAAAGCGUGGGGAGCAAACAGG
RNAcentral lists this ribosomal RNA (404 nucleotides) under Actinomycetes bacterium. Its description in RNAcentral is "Actinobacteria bacterium partial 16S ribosomal RNA". It matches the Rfam family "Bacterial small subunit ribosomal RNA", at positions 355 to 776 of the family's 1533-position model. Lineage: Bacteria; Bacillati; Actinomycetota; Actinomycetes. The record is from RNAcentral.